GAAAGUAAACACAGUGCCUGGUCUCAGGGGCUCCCAGACCAGCAGAGCAGGCUGACAGAUACACAUUUGCUCACACCUGACUACUACGCAGGGGCAACAUGCAGAGGCCCAUGAAGGAGGCGUUGGGCUGGAGCUAGGGCUCCGGGUGUGACUUGGCCCCUGCCUUUUGUCCGGACUGGAUGACUCAGGGCAGCCAGGCCGGAGAGGCAGAAGGAAGCAAGGAGACUGAUGGAGGAAAUGCUUCAGAGAAGAGGAAAUAUGCAGAAUGUCCCUUUCUCAUCCCACGUGGCUCAGGCCUAAUGACAAAAGCACGUCACCUACAGAUGUUCCUGAAUGGCACCGGGGCCCUUGGGCUUAGGAGGUUCAAGAUUCCAGCCAAGAGGCCCUAUCUGUAGGAGAAGGCUGGAAUGUGGAUGUGGUGGCUGGAGUGCAGUAGUCAUUUUGGGCCAUAAGGUAGAAAGUCUAUGUUGAUAAGGAGCCUGGGUUCCUGAUGAUUGGGGCUGUUAUUAGAACUCUAGUCUGUUCACCUUUCUUCUUCACUAUGUAAGAACAUAGUAAAGUGCAAACAAUGUGUUUGUAACAAACCACAGUUAUUUUGGGUUUUCUGAAACUUAGGAACCCACUCAUAACUAAUCUACCAUGGAAAGUACACACACACACACACACACACACACACACACACACACCCGAAGGAACACUAUUGAAAUGAAGGACAUGGGCUUCCCAGUUGGAUUGCUUUGCUCCAAAUUCUAGCUCCACUACUUUCUAGC
Long non-coding RNA from Herpailurus yagouaroundi (jaguarundi), 770 nucleotides. RefSeq lists it as uncharacterized. The record is from RefSeq and is a predicted model, not a curated record. The transcript has 4 exons. NCBI's taxonomy places the organism in Eukaryota, Metazoa, Chordata, Mammalia, Carnivora, Felidae.